Molecule: long non-coding RNA, 199 nt
Filed under: Elaeis guineensis (African oil palm)
Lineage: Eukaryota; Viridiplantae; Streptophyta; Magnoliopsida; Arecales; Arecaceae
Description: long non-coding RNA (EGUI_LNC078783)
Source: RNAcentral
GUGACGGCAUUAAAUCGGUUGACAUAGGUUUGGAUGGAUUCUCCUUCCUUCUUCUUGAUGUUGAUAAGGGACUCCGAACCUCUCCGGAGAUGCUGGCUACUAACAAAAUGAGCCACAAACUGGUGGCUCGUCUGAUCAAAAGAGAAGAUAGUACCUGAUUUCAGUACCGAGUACCAGUUCCUUGCUGCUCCCUUCAAGG